RNAcentral lists this ribosomal RNA (490 nucleotides) under uncultured bacterium. RNAcentral describes it as "bacterial SSU rRNA". It matches the Rfam family "Bacterial small subunit ribosomal RNA", at positions 28 to 507 of the family's 1533-position model. The record is from RNAcentral.
GAUGAACGCUAGCUACAGGCUUAACACAUGCAAGUCGAGGGGCAGCAUAUUGAUAGCUUGCUAUUGUUGAUGGCGACCGGCGCACGGGUGAGUAACGCGUAUCCAACCCUCCCGUUGCUAGGGGAUAACCUUGCGAAAGUAAGACUAAUACCCUAUGAAGUUCUUCGCAGGCAUCUAAAGAGAACGAAAGAUUUAUCGGCAACGGAUGGGGAUGCGUCUGAUUAGGUUGUUGGCGGGGUAACGGCCCACCAAGCCCACGAUCAGUAGGGGUUCUGAGAGGAAGGUCCCCCACAUUGGAACUGAGACACGGUCCAAACUCCUACGGGAGGCAGCAGUGAGGAAUAUUGGUCAAUGGACGGAAGUCUGAACCAGCCAAGUAGCGUGCAGGACGACGGCCCUAUGGGUUGUAAACUGCUUUUAUGUGGGAAUAAAGUGAGGGACGUGUCCCUUUUUGUAGGUACCACAUGAAUAAGGACCGGCUAAUUCCGUG